RNAcentral lists this long non-coding RNA (827 nucleotides) under Mus musculus (house mouse). Its description in RNAcentral is "long non-coding RNA chr1:16930969-16931796". Lineage: Eukaryota; Metazoa; Chordata; Mammalia; Rodentia; Muridae. The record is from RNAcentral.
GAUGAAUUGGUGGAAUUAGAGGGCAGCGCUGUUGAGUAAAAAAACACAUUCUGUAUGUUCUUACUAACAUGUGGAUGAUAAAGAUGUUGAGAAAAAAGAAGAGAGAAUAGAAUUGGAGUCGUGGAAAGCUGAGGUAUGGAGAUCAGCUAUCAAAACAACAUUUUAUGGAAUAAAAGUUUUAGUAUUCUGCAGUAUCACAGGGUGACUAUAGUUUACAACAAUCUAUUAUAUACUUUAUAAAAAGAUAAAAGAGAGUCACCUGAAGGCUCUAAACACAAAUAAUAAUAUAUAAGGAUAUAGAAAUGUUAAUUAACCCAUUUGAUCACUACCUAUACGCAUAAGUACAUGUAUAGAAUUUUAUUGUAUUUCAUAAAUAUAUAGAGUUCUGUGCCAAUUUAAAUAUGAUAAACACAUAAAUGUAAAAGAGCCCCCAUUUUAUUACAGAAUUCUGUUUAUUGUUUUAGGUAUAGUGGUACACAUGGGUAAUCCCAGCACUUGGGAGGUUAGAAGUAGGAUGAUCUGGAAUUCAAGAUCAGCCUUGGCUUCAUAGCAUGUUGGAGUUUAGCCUGAACUACAUGAGACUCUGCCUCAAGAAAUAAAAAACAAUGCAUCGCCCAAAGAUUUAUUUCACACAUUAAAAGUUGUCCAAUAUUUCACAGCUAUCAAGUUGUAAACCAAAGAGUCUAACCUUGUACAGUUUGGCUCCUGGGUCCAGGCUUUCUUGUACAAUGUCUAAUGUUGGAUGUGUUAUGAAGCUUAAGUUUCUUUCCAAGGCCUUGCAUAUGAUCAUGUGUUUGAGAAAAUUUAUAUAAAGCUAUUUAAACUGC